Molecule: RNA transcript, 6584 nt
Organism: Caretta caretta (loggerhead turtle)
Lineage: Eukaryota; Metazoa; Chordata; Testudines; Cheloniidae
Gene: BCL2L11
Gene name: BCL2 like 11
Source: RefSeq, a predicted model, not a curated record
GUCUCUCUGGGGGUAUUUGUCACUACCCGCUAUUGCUUUGUUUGGGUGGGGAAGUGGCCGUGUUGUUCGAGCUGACGUUUUACUACUCCCCUCUCCCUCGCAGUUGGGAGUCGGAAGGCGGAUUUGUUGAGUUAGCAUUAAAAGGGUGAGGAGGGGGGUGAACGAGAGCCAGCCCUGUGCAAUCUACAAACUCUAUUGUGACGCACUUACUACAACUGAUUGCUGCUGCCAAACCUCCUCCAGACUUGCUGUGAUCAGCACAUUAGAUAGAACAAUGGGGCUGGAACAGGGAACAUGGCCAGGAGGCUCUGCACAAUCACUGCAAAUACUCCUCACUCUUGCAUUUCAGCACAGUAUCCGAUUCUUUUAUUUAAUCACUUGGGGAAAUCAGAGCUUAUUGCUCUUUUUUUAAAAUUAACAGACUCAAAACUUCAUAUAGAUUUGGAGCAUAACUGGAGCACAAUGGCCUGGCUGAUAAAUUUCACUUUAAAACCCAAUUCCUUUUGUUUGGACAAAGACUUCUCACAAGUUAUACUUUUGAUGCAGGUAUCCUAGGAGGGGCGGAAACAGUGGACAGGAAACUACCCAUAGAUCUGAUAGCAGUUGAUUGUAUUUGGGUGGGGGGGGGGGGGAAGUGAGUACUUAAAAAGCUAGAAGAAUGUAUGCUGAAAAGCAUAUGCCAUACUACUAGAAUUCUAACAAUAUAAAUAAGGACUUUGAGAAUGUAUUGCAAAACUUAUUAGAUAUUAUAGUAUUAUAAUAAAACCUAGAGAGCUUUCUCAUAAUGUCUUCCUCUUCCUUUGCAGGAAAAAAAGACCAAAUGGCAAAGCAACCUUCUGAUCUAAAUUCAGAGUGCAACAGAGAAGGUGGACAGUUUCAGUCAACUGAAAGGCCAAGUCAGCCUCAGCAUCUUAGACCUGGGGCCCCUACCUCUAUACAAACACAGUAUCAAGGUAAUCAUUCAGGUGAGGGGGACUUCGCCCAGCAGCCCUCAGGGAGCUCUUCGCCCAGCAGCCCUCAGGGACCAUUUGCACCACCCAGUAGCCCCAGUCCAUUUGCUACCAGAUCCCCACUUUUCAUCUUUGUAAGAAGAUCCUCACUGCUGUCUAGAUCCUCCAGUGGGUAUUUCUCUUUCGACACAGACAGGAGUCCUGCGCCUAUGAGUUGCGACAAGUCCACGCAGACUCCAAGUCCCCCUUGUCAAGCCUUUAAUCAUUAUCUAAGUGCAAUGGGUAAGCAAGAUCAUGAGUCCAUUGUCUUUGUCUUAGGAGCCAAGAAAACCAUCUGGGGGUUCAGACUCUGCUUCCAGGUGGGAGUCUCCCUCAAUACGUGAAGACAUGCAGCCAGAAAUAUGGAUUGCACAGGAACUGCGGCGUAUUGGAGAUGAGUUUAAUGCUUCCUAUUGCCCAAGAAGGGGUUUCUUGGAUAAUCCAGCAGUAAACCAUCAAAUUGUUUUGCGCUUGUUACGUUAUAUCAUCCGCCUCAUUUGGAGACUGCAGUAAUGGAGACCUACAGAGAGAGACAUUCUGAGAUUGUCCAGUUGUCACCAGAAUCCAGCAAAACCAAGCAGCAGUAGUAUCCUUUCCAUACCUUGUAUAUGCAACUAACAAAUCCUCCUUUUCCUAAAGGACACCAGAUACAUUGGGAGGAGCAGUAGGACUCCGUGUUUGUGAAAAAUAUGCACAUAGACUGUCUCAUUUUGUCUGCUAUGAGAAGACAGAGGGGUUUUAAAUGGGAAUUCACUGUGAACACGUCAUGAUGGAUUUUGGAAACGGAUAUAUAAAAGCUUUGUGAAGCAGGACUUUAUGUGAGAGUGGUGUUUACGCUGGUUUUUCUUGAACUUUUAAAAGACUGAUUUGGAAAGAAGAUGAUCAAACAUUAUUGAAUGAUUUUCAUACUCCGUUUUCUGGAAACCUGUAGACUAAUAUCUGAUAUAUUCUGCAAUGGAGUUAACUGAGCCAGCUAACUUGCAGAGCUGCCUUAGUUUGUUAUAACUGUGUACAGAUGUCGUCUACCCUCCCCCCCCCCCAUCUCCCACCCCGCAAGGAGGGGUCAGAUUCAUGCUUUCCCUCCAUUCUUAGCCCCUUUCAUGGAAAAACGGCAAAAUCAUGAAUUGAAGCUGGUUGAAGAAGGGUGGAAGGAUUUGCAUCAGAACUUCAAUUACCCUGCAAAUCUCUACUAUCACCCUAAAUUCAACUGUGUGUGUGUCACACAAACAGCAUACUUCCUGCUGACUGAUUUUAAACUGCAGCCAAGUGCAACUGGCGCACUCCCCCUGAAACUUCCACCUCUUCCACCCUACCAGCAGGAAUCUCAAAGAUGACCUGAAAUUUGCAGCUUAACUGUGAAAGUGUUAUGCUUCAAAAACCAUACCAAGUUGCCUUUCUAAAAAUUUAUAUCUAAUGAGUCUGGAUACAUUUGUGUAUUAUAUAAUAUAGAAUGUUGAAGGUUGGGGAUAAUAGAACAAUAAAAUAUUUGUGGGGUAAAACAGUUCCUGAGACACUGCAAUCUUACCCAAAGUUGGAGGGUUGCAUAACUUUAGAAACUAUUUUAAACUUCACUUAAUAUUUUACUGUGACUGUUGAUAAACCCAGUUGGUAUUGCUGUUUUUUUAAUGUGUUGGAUUUUUGCUAGAGCUGGCUUUGUACUUAAGACCUAUUCUGAGAGAUGCAAGGAACUAACAAACGUUAACAGUUGAGUUACAUCCAUCUUGAGAGCAAUAGUACAAUAUUUGAAUUGGUUGUGGUGGUUCAAAAAAUCCCACAAGUGAAUGAAUAAAUAUCUAUUGGAAGCAAAAGUUGGGCCAUUUUGAAAGUUCUAGCAAAACUUCCACAUAAUUUAAAAUAAUAAAAUUAUAAGGGCACUAACUGUAUUCAUAAAUCAGACAUUCUGUGACUUGUUUAAAGAUUAACCAAAAACAGAAUGAAGUUAAAUCAAGAUUGCUAUACAGGAGUGACUCACUAACUCGGUUGUGGGAGGCAUCCAAAGUUUUAACUUACCUUUUUCUUUAAUUAGAUCUUCCUUCUACAGAACUCCCUUUACCACUUCUUGGGUCGCUGAAGUUAUUCCAGAAGGCAUCAUUCUGUGAAACCACAAAUACCAUGGAUUGCAUGACUUCUAAACUUCUGGUAUUUAGAUCAUAACAAAGUGAUGCAUUCUGUAACAACUUCAUUGACGCAAGAAGUGCCAAGAGGACUUCACAGAAAGAAAAACUUUAUUUUUAAUUUUUAAGUGUGUAUAUUGAAUGCUGCCCCCGAGCCUGUUGCGUGGGCACUGUAACCACAGAUCUAGGUUUAAACUGAAUUUUAAUAUUGGUUUUAUAGUACCUUUACACCAUGGGAAACUGCAUGACAGGUGCUUUGGGGAGCGCACAGUUCCUUCAGAUGGUGCGGUGUAUUAAUGCAGAAUUUACCCCAAUCUGGCUUCAGAAUUGUCUUCAGAAUCUGGCUUCCUUUUGUAUGUGAUGCAGAGAGCUUGCUUGAUUCAGUUUGUUUCUAUUUGCUACAGUCUACUUCAAAAUGCCGUAUUUUAUUUCUGGUUUCACCAGCACCAUAGAAAAAUAUGGUAGCUCUACUUUCAAAAUGUUGCAAUAUGUUCAUCAGCAUAUCCUGAGUGCCAUUGUAUUUUUUUUUUUUUUUUUUUAGUUUUGACAAGUAAAUUUGUAUAAUAUGUACUCUAUGCACUGACCACUGGUGCCUCUGGGGCAGGUGGAAGGGCUCCUCUAAACAUGGCUCUGUUGCCCAGUUGCAUUAAUCCACCCCCGUGAGCAGUGAAUCCAGAGGAUAAAAGCACAUGUUGGCUCUGUAGGCUAAACCUUUGUCCUAGGAGUUGGCCUCAAUUAUCAAAGCAGUGGUUUGUGUUUUUGUUUUGUUUUUUUUUUAACUUUUUAAGAGAAAUAUUGGUGACGGAAAUUGUAUCUGGAGUUUCAAGCAGAAAUUUAGUGCUGAUGGCAGAUAAUCACUUCCAUAACAGCAUGGCUUUGGCUCAUACCAAAGUACUAGGUGUAAAGGGGAGUGGGGAAUUCAUAAGGUCCUACAUGUAGUGAAUGGAGCGGGUAUAAAUGUAUGUUCAGUAACGAGUUCUCACUGCUACCAGGUGCUAGAAGUGAGAAUAAGAUGGAAGGGGGCUAUGAGAGUAUUACUUCUGUUCCAUUUUGAACAUUCCUCACCCAUCAGAGUUACACAGCCACUAAACAGAUUAGACAAAAAUCAGAUUUUCCAACGCUAGAGGUUGCAGUCCUCUUUUGCACGGAAUGGGGCCCUAGCCACUUAUUGGAACGAUGUUAGAGUUGAUCAGGUGCUUUCAGGUAUAAGAGUCUUGAAACCUCCUCAGAAGGCCACGUUGUCCCCUAGUUGUCAUGAUGAACAGAGUAGAGCUGGUUCUGAAAUUUGGACUUAUAUGUACCUUUCCGAACACACCAAAGACAUUUCUGUUUACAAUUCCCCGUGCACGCACACACACACACACUCACUCACACACACACGCUUCUACAAUUGGCGCGUGUGCACGCACAUGCGCGCUUCUACAAGUGGAGCACUUUAUUUCAGUUCUUUUCAAUAGUGCCCUUGGGAGAGUUGGCAUCAGGACUACAUAUUUUCUCCCUCUCCAUCCCACCUCUUCAUAAGGGUCUGCUGGCCCAGUGCCUGGAGACUUGGGUGCUUUCUUUGUACACUUACCUCUAGCCUGGUAGUGCAACAGGUUUGCCACCACGGCUACAGACUAGCUUACUAUAAGCGUAAUAAAUGAUUUAAAAAACAAUUCUGUGAAUUAUAUGAACAUUAAAGAACAAGAUAUUGGCACCAUGUGACUUGGACUUCUCUGCACUCUUGUUUAUCAAGAAGUUUCCUGCAGAUGUUUUUACAGUAUGUAUUUUAAAAAAAUAACUAAAACUAAUCCCAUUGUUUUUGACCAUUUAAAACUGGUUUUGUGCCUUGGCAACCUCUCUGCCCAGGUUAGAUUUGUGGGUGGUUGAGUUUUUUUCUUCAAUCUCAACAUGACAUUAAAAACAGUUAAUACUUUUGCUACGUUGUUAGUGGAGGAAUUUCUUAAUUCCAUAUAAUCCAUACUCUACCCUGCCAAAACUACUUUAUGAAGAAUUUUCUUUGGUUGUGGAGAAACCAGAUUCAAAUUUUUCUUACCAAACUUGUAUGAUAUGGUAUUAUGCUUUUUCUCCUUCAAUAAUUGUAAAUAUUUGAGUAUUUAUUAGAUUAGGGCAUCAUAUUAUUCUUAUAAUCUGAGCCAAAUGUCUGUGUGCAAUGUUUUGUUUCUUUUCUUACUAUGUCAUGUAAAGUUUUGUACAGCAUAUAAAGUAAAUUACUGUUUUUCUAAGUCUUUUUUAGAAUUGAACUUGGUAAAUACUGUAGAUUCUUUUUUCUGUGUAAUUAAUGCACUCUACUGUUCCAUAAUGCUGUAACUUGUAGAAAUGUUGUAUAUUUAUUUUCUGCUUAUUUAAGUUUCUGUAAAGUUUUUAAUGAAUUUUUACUGGUAUAUAUGGAAUUAGUGAUUGAUCAGUUUAGAGCACUGUCUUCUAAUUCAGUGCAAUCAAUAAUGUUUAGUUACUGAGUAAAAUGUUCAAAAGUGCCUAAGUGACUUAGGCUCCUAAGUCCCAGUUUCAAAAGAGGGUGUGAAGUACCUAAGUCAGUGUCACAAAGUCCAGGGGACUUGGGUUUCUGUGUGCCUAAAGUCUCUUUUGAAAAUUGUAUCCACAAUUUAAAUCCCCCAUUUUGGCCACUUUUCUUAACUUUCUGGACUCAGUAAUUCAGCACAGUACAUAAAGGCAGAGAUUUGAAGUAAAAUGUGACAUGGAGGUGCAAAGUAGGCCAAACACCAAAGCCACAUCCAGAAUCUCUGUGUAGUUCAAAGCAUUAAUUUGUUACAAAUAACUUCAUCAGUCUAAGCAAAACAUUAUUAUCCCAAGGGGCCAAGGGCAGUUUAUUCAAACAUACUAUUAAACUGAAGUGCAGUAGUCUCAGUUAAUCACUUUUUCAAGACCUAUACAACGUGCCAAUUCCCCACCUUCUCAUUCUCCACUGCCUUCAGAUUUCACCAUCCCUGUGCUCCUACUGAAUCUGGCUGCAUUGCUUCAUCCAGCUGCCAGAAUUAAAAAUUAUGCUGUAGAUUUCAGUUCGAUAACUUGAUUGUGCUUCCUGGUAACUUAAUAAUAACCCUAUUUUGGGAUAUUAAACACCUUAUCCUCAGUUUACAUAGUGCAGGAAGUGGCUGUUACCUCCUAAACAAGAAGCCCCUGCAAGUUAUUUAUAGAACUACUUUCUACUUUGAUUUGUAAACUUUUGCAUCCUGGUUUCAAGACCACUCAUUACUGUAGUAAAGCUCCUGAUCAGGUACAAACAAACACAGCACUGAUCAUGUACUGAUUAAUCACUAACUUGUUUCAUACGACCCAGCAUAUGUAGCAUUUUUAUUGCAAUUUCCCUGGCUUACUUGUGGUUUGCACUGAUGAAUUUUUGACAGGGUAAUUGCCACUUUACUUGUGCAAUACUGCUGUACAUAGCUACAGAUCUUUUUUUAAGAUGCAAUCUUUUAUGUUCUUAAUGAAUUUUAUAUAAAUAAAACUUCCAUCUAUU